This 253-nucleotide ribosomal RNA is filed under the name uncultured bacterium. RNAcentral describes it as "partial 16S ribosomal RNA". It matches the Rfam family "Bacterial small subunit ribosomal RNA", at positions 524 to 776 of the family's 1533-position model. The record is from RNAcentral.
UACAGAGGUCUCAAGCGUUGUUCGGAUUCAUUGGGCGUAAAGGGUGCGUAGGUGGCGGGGCAAGUCAGGUGUGAAAUCCCGGAGCUUAACUCCGGAACUGCAUUUGAUACUGCCUUGCUGGAGUACUGGAGAGGAGACUGGAAUUUACGGUGUAGCAGUGAAAUGCGUAGAGAUCAUAAGGAAGACCAGUGGCGAAGGCGAGUCUCUGGACAGUUACUGACACUGAGGCACGAAGGCCAGGGGAGCGAACGGG